UAGGGAAUCUUCCGCAAUGGGCGAAAGCCUGACGGAGCGACGCCGCGUGAGUGAUGAAGGUCUUCGGAUCGUAAAACUCUGUUAUUAGGGAAGAACAAAUGUGUAAGUAACUAUGCACGUCUUGACGGUACCUAAUCAGAAAGCCACGGCUAACUACGUGCCAGCAGCCGCGGUAAUACGUAGGUGGCAAGCGUUAUCCGGAAUUAUUGGGCGUAAAGCGCGCGUAGGCGGUUUUUUAAGUCUGAUGUGAAAGCCCACGGCUCAACCGUGGAGGGUCAUUGGAAACUGGAAAACUUGAGUGCAGAAGAGGAAAGUGGAAUUCCAUGUGUAGCGGUGAAAUGCGCAGAGAUAUGGAGGAACACCAGUGGCGAAGGCGACUUUCUGGUCUGUAACUGACGCUGAUGUGCGAAAGCGUGGGGAUCAAACAGG
Molecule: ribosomal RNA, 429 nt
Filed under: Actinomycetes bacterium
Lineage: Bacteria; Bacillati; Actinomycetota; Actinomycetes
Description: Actinobacteria bacterium partial 16S ribosomal RNA
Rfam family: Bacterial small subunit ribosomal RNA
Source: RNAcentral